AAAAUUACAUUUUUUGCUUGUUAUAAACUAAGAUUGGGCUCGGGUUACUCAAUGGGGCUAUAAUGCACAUGGGCCAAACCACACUAAAAGAUUGAAUCCAACCAAUUAGCUAGUCUAACCCAUAGCCUUAUAAACCCCAUAUUUCCUCUCUUAUUUUAUCAAUGUGGGACUCUUAACAAAGCUCAAAAAUCAUUUCCAAUCUCUUCAAUGUAACCAAUUGAAAGGGGAAAUGUGAGGGGAAAAAAAUCAGCUUGCAACACUGUAACAGUAUCUAAUAGC
Molecule: long non-coding RNA, 279 nt
Organism: Ipomoea nil (Japanese morning glory)
Lineage: Eukaryota; Viridiplantae; Streptophyta; Magnoliopsida; Solanales; Convolvulaceae
Exons: 3
Source: RefSeq, a predicted model, not a curated record